AUGUCGCCUCCCCCUAGCCGCCGCCGCCUCCCACCUCAGUCGCGCCCCCCCCCCUCGCAUCUCGUCCGCCCCGAGUGCGGAGGCAAGCUUCCCAGCGGCGGCGCUGGAUUCGAUCUGCAGGAGAGAGAGGGAGGUGUGGCAGCCGCCGCACACCCGCACCGCUCCGCGCCUCCUCUUUGCUCCACCAUGCAGCCUCCUCCUCCCCGCCCACCUCCGGCGCAGCUCGUCGUAGUGGAGAGCAAGGUCUUCGUGGCGGGGUGGAGCUGCAGCGGAGGGAAGGAUGCUGGACGGAUCCGGCGCCUGCAGGCUGAAGCAGCAGGAGUUGGUGGAUUUGGCGGAUGCUGA
RNAcentral lists this ribosomal RNA (345 nucleotides) under Triticum aestivum (bread wheat). RNAcentral describes it as "partial small subunit ribosomal RNA". Lineage: Eukaryota; Viridiplantae; Streptophyta; Magnoliopsida; Poales; Poaceae. The record is from RNAcentral.